UGAAUUGUUUGAUUUUUGAUAUUCGCUGUGACGAUCUUUUGGGCCUAUUUUGAAGGGCAUUGUUGCCAUUGAGCCUAUAUGGGUAUAUGUGAUUUUUUUUUUUGGUUUUUG
RNAcentral lists this small RNA (111 nucleotides) under Arabidopsis thaliana (thale cress). RNAcentral describes it as "ATSL246910". Lineage: Eukaryota; Viridiplantae; Streptophyta; Magnoliopsida; Brassicales; Brassicaceae. The record is from RNAcentral.